This 442-nucleotide ribosomal RNA is filed under the name uncultured bacterium. RNAcentral's name for it is "partial 16S ribosomal RNA". It matches the Rfam family "Bacterial small subunit ribosomal RNA", at positions 339 to 795 of the family's 1533-position model. The record is from RNAcentral.
CUACGGGGCGCUGCAGUGGGGAAUAUUGGACAAUGGACCAAAAGUCUGAUCCAGCAAUUCUGUGUGUUUGAUGAAGGCCUUCGGGUUGUAAAGAACUUUAAGUAGGGAAGAAGAAAGUGACGGUACCUACAGAAUAAGCGACGGCUAAAUACGUGCCAGCAGCCGCGGUAAUACGUAUGUCGCAAGCGUUAUCCGGAAUUAUUGGGCAUAAAGCGCGUCUAGGCGGUUUACUAAGUCUGAUGUGAAAAUGCGGGGCUCAACUCCGUAUUGCGUUGGAAACUGGUAGACUAGAGUAUUGGAGAGGUAGGCGGAACUACAAGUGUAGAGGUGAAAUUCGUAGAUAUUUGUAGGAAUGCCAAUGACGAAGGUAGCUUACUGGACAAAUACUGACGCUGAAGCGCGAAAGCUAGGGGAGCAAACAGGAUUAGAUACCCCUGUAGUC